This 450-nucleotide ribosomal RNA is filed under the name uncultured bacterium. RNAcentral describes it as "partial 16S ribosomal RNA". It matches the Rfam family "Bacterial small subunit ribosomal RNA", at positions 338 to 795 of the family's 1533-position model. The record is from RNAcentral.
UCUAUGGGGGGCUGCAGUGGGGAAUAUUGGACAAUGGGGGAAACCCUGAUCCAGCGACGCCGCGUGUGUGAAGAAGGCCUGCGGGUUGUAAAGCACUUUCGGUGGGAACGAAAUAUGCCGGGCUAAUAUCCCGGCAGGCUGACGUUACCCAAUGAAGAAGCACCGGCUAACUCUGUGCCAGCAGCCGCGGUAAUACAGAGGGUGCGAGCGUUAAUCGGAAUUACUGGGGGUAAAGCCCACGUACGCGGGUGAAAUCCCCGGGCUCAACCUGGGAACUGCAUUCGAAACUGCGAUGCUUGAGUAUGGGAGAGGACAGCGGAAUUCCGGGUGUAGCGGUGAAAUGCGUAGAUAUCCGGAGGAACAUCAGUGGCGAAGGCGGCUGUCUGGCCCAAUACUGACGCUCAGGUGCGAAAGCGUGGGGAGCAAACAGGAUUAGAUACCCGGGUAGUC